UAAGUAGAUAGUGAAAUCUGGUGGCUCAACCAUUCAGACUAUUAUCUAAACUGCUAAGCUCGAGACCGUUAGGGGUAGCUGGAAUUUCUAGUGUAGGAGUGAAAUCCGUAGAUAUUAGAAAGAACACCGAUAGCGUAGGCAGGCUACUGGGGCGGUUCUGACACUAAGGCACGAAAGCGUAGGGAGCAAACGGGAUUAGAUACCCCGGUAGUCUACGCCGUAAACGAUGGAUGCUA
RNAcentral lists this ribosomal RNA (236 nucleotides) under uncultured Candidatus Saccharibacteria bacterium. Its description in RNAcentral is "partial 16S ribosomal RNA". It matches the Rfam family "Bacterial small subunit ribosomal RNA", at positions 584 to 818 of the family's 1533-position model. The record is from RNAcentral. Lineage: Bacteria; Candidatus Saccharimonadota.